Molecule: ribosomal RNA, 547 nt
Filed under: Amanita phalloides f. porrinensis
Lineage: Eukaryota; Fungi; Basidiomycota; Agaricomycetes; Agaricales; Amanitaceae
Description: partial large subunit ribosomal RNA
Source: RNAcentral
GACCUCAAAUCAGGUAGGACUACCCGCUGAACUUAAGCAUAUCAAUAAGCGGAGGAAAAGAAACUAACAAGGAUUCCCCUAGUAACUGCGAGUGAAGCGGGAAAAGCUCAAAUUUAAAAUCUGGCAGAUGUUUGUCUGUCCGAGUUGUAACCUAGAGAAGUGUAACCUGUGCUGGACCRUGUACAAGUCUCCUGGAAUGGAGCAUCAUAGAGGGUGAGAAUCCCGUCUUUGACAUGGACUACCAGUGCACUGUGGUUGCGCACUCAACGAGUCGAGUUGUUUGGGAAUGCAGCUCUAAAUGGGUGGUAAAUUCCAUCUAAAGCUAAAUAUUGGCGAGAGACCGAUAGCGAACAAGUACCGUGAGGGAAAGAUGAAAAGAACUUUGGAAAGAGAGUUAAACAGUAUGUGAAAUUGUUGAAAGGGAAACACUUGAAGUCAGCUGCAUUGGCUGGGGAUCAAGCCAGCUUAUUUGCUGGGUGUACUUCCUGGUUGAUGGGCCAACAUCAGUUUUGACCAUCAGAGAAAGGCUAAGGGAAUGUGGCACCUU